This 71-nucleotide transfer RNA is filed under the name Anneissia japonica. Its description in RNAcentral is "tRNA-Ser". It matches the Rfam family "tRNA". From Rfam's summary of the family: Transfer RNA (tRNA) molecules are approximately 80 nucleotides in length. Their secondary structure includes four short double-helical elements and three loops (D, anti-codon, and T loops). Lineage: Eukaryota; Metazoa; Echinodermata; Crinoidea; Comatulida; Comatulidae. The record is from RNAcentral.
GCAUCGGUGGUUCAGUGGUAGAAUUCUCGCCUGCUACGCGGGGCACCCGGGUUCAAUUCCCGGCCGAUGCA